This 75-nucleotide ribosomal RNA is filed under the name Fusibacter bizertensis. Its description in RNAcentral is "partial 23S ribosomal RNA". It matches the Rfam family "Bacterial large subunit ribosomal RNA", at positions 1 to 75 of the family's 2925-position model. The record is from RNAcentral. Lineage: Bacteria; Bacillati; Bacillota; Clostridia; Eubacteriales; Fusibacteraceae.
GGUCAAGUUAAUAAGAGCAUAGGGCGGAUGCCUUGGCACUAGGAGCCGAAGAAGGACGUGGUAAGCUGCGAAAAG